RNAcentral lists this small RNA (574 nucleotides) under Pongo abelii (Sumatran orangutan). RNAcentral describes it as "retained intron". Lineage: Eukaryota; Metazoa; Chordata; Mammalia; Primates; Hominidae. The record is from RNAcentral.
CUGUCCAGUGAGUCAGAUGCCCCAGGCCAGCCUGUGAGCUGCUCCCCUGCCAGGCCCUGCUCUUUCUGCUGGGUUAACCUCGAGGCAUAAGUGAGCCCUAGAAGCCGGGGUGGGGCUGGGGGUCUCCAGCUGCCCUGCUGAGGUGCCGUCCUUUGCUCUCUGCAGGGUUCAUGCUCAUCGGGAGUGACGUUAAGCUGAACAGCCCCUCAUCACUCAUCGGCCAGGCCCUCACAGAGAUCCUGCAGCACCCGGAGCGUGCGCGGGAUGCCCUGCGAGUGCUGCUGCACCUGGUGGAGAAGUCCCUGCAGCGCAUCCAGAAUGGGCAGCGCAAUGCCAUGUACACGUCCCAGCAGAGUGUGGAGAACAAAGUGGGUGGCAUCCCUGGCUGGCAGGCCCUCCUCACCGCUGUGGGCUUCCGGCUGGACCCCCCAACCAGCGGCCUGCCAGCGGCUGUCUUCUUCCCAACCUCCGACCCGGGCGACCGGCUCCAGCAGUGCAGCAGCACACUCCAGUCCCUGCUGGGCCUGCCCAAUAAUGCCCUCCAAGCCCUUUGCAAACUCAUCACUGCCUCCGA